UACGUAGGGUGCAAGCGUUGUCCGGAAUUAUUGGGCGUAAAGAGCUCGUAGGCGGUCUGUCGCGUCUGCUGUGAAAACCCGAGGCUCAACCUCGGGCCUGCAGUGGGUACGGGCAGACUAGAGUGCGGUAGGGGAGAUUGGAAUUCCUGGUGUAGCGGUGGAAUGCGCAGAUAUCAGGAGGAACACCGAUGGCGAAGGCAGAUCUCUGGGCCGUAACUGACGCUGAGGAGCGAAAGCAUGGGGAGCGAACAGGAUUAGAUACCCUGGUAGUCCAUGCCGUAAACGUUGGGAACUAGAUGUGGGGACCAUUCCACGGUCUCCGUGUCGCAGCUAACGCAUUAAGUUCCCCGCCUGGGGAGUACGGCCGCAAGGCUAAA
This 377-nucleotide ribosomal RNA is filed under the name uncultured bacterium. RNAcentral's name for it is "bacterial SSU rRNA". It matches the Rfam family "Bacterial small subunit ribosomal RNA", at positions 524 to 898 of the family's 1533-position model. The record is from RNAcentral.